AAUAGGAGCAUGACAAGUUAGAUUUUUUCCUUCUGAUUUUUAGCUUUUUCCUUCAGAAAAAUUCAAAUCCAACUAAAAAUGCUAAUAAUUAGGAUAAAAAUCUGAUUUGUCAUACUCUUAAU
RNAcentral lists this microRNA precursor (122 nucleotides) under Gossypium hirsutum (cotton). Its description in RNAcentral is "MIR7504 microRNA precursor family". It matches the Rfam family "MIR7504 microRNA precursor family". RNAcentral also lists the same sequence under 1 other name. Lineage: Eukaryota; Viridiplantae; Streptophyta; Magnoliopsida; Malvales; Malvaceae. The record is from Rfam by way of RNAcentral.